AUUGAACGCUGGCGGCAUGCUUUACACAUGCAAGUCGAACGGCAGCGCGGGCUUCGGCCUGGCGGCGAGUGGCGAACGGGUGAGUAAUGCAUCGGAACGUGCCCAGUAGUGGGGGAUAGCCCGGCGAAAGCCGGAUUAAUACCGCAUACGACCUGAGGGUGAAAGCGGGGGACCGAAAGGCCUCGCGCUAUUGGAGCGGCCGAUGUCGGAUUAGCUAGUUGGUGGGGUAAAGGCUUACCAAGGCGACGAUCCGUAGCUGGUCUGAGAGGACGACCAGCCACCCUGGGACUGAGGAACGGCCCAGACUCCUACGGGAGGCCGCCGUGGGGAAUUUUGGACAAUGGGGGCAACCCUGAUCCAGCCCUGCCGGGGGAGGGAAGAAGGCCUUCGGGUUGUAAACCGCUUUUGUUCGGGGAGAAAUCCUCUUGGCUAAUACCCCGGGGGGAUGACGGUACCGGAAGAAUAAGCACCGGCUAACUACGUG
This 484-nucleotide ribosomal RNA is filed under the name uncultured bacterium. RNAcentral's name for it is "partial 16S ribosomal RNA". It matches the Rfam family "Bacterial small subunit ribosomal RNA", at positions 28 to 507 of the family's 1533-position model. The record is from RNAcentral.